AACGAACGCUGGCAGCGUGGAUUAGGCAUGCAAGUCGAACGCUCGGCGGCUGUAGCAAUACGGCCGCCGGGAGUGGCGGAAGGGCGAGGAACGCAUGGGCAAUCUGUCCCAAGGGUGGGGAUAACGCCGUGAAAAUGGCGCUAAUACCGAAUGUGGCGUACGGGUCGCAUGACUCGUCCGCUAAAGGCGGGGACCGCAAGGCCUGCCCCCUAGGGAGGAGCCCGUGUGCCAUCAGCUUGUUGGCGGGGUAACGGCCCACCAAGGCUUACGGCUAGCUGGUCUGAGAGGACGACCAGCCGCACUGGGACUGAGACACUGCCCAGACUCCUACGGGAGGCUGCAGUCGAGGAUCAUUCGCAAUGGGCGAAAGCCUGACGAUGCGACGCUGCGUGGAGGAUGACGGCCUUCGGGUUGUAAACUCCUGUCAUGAGGGAAAAACGAACCUGCGACAACAUCAAGGGGACGAGAUGGUACCUCAAGAGGAAGCCACGGCUAACUCUGUGCCAGCAGCCGCGGUAAUACAGAGGUGGCGAGCGUUGUUCGGAUUUACUGGGCGUAAAGGGCGCGUAGGCGGCGCGGUGUGUCGGGUGUGAAAUCCAUGGGCCCAACCCAUGAAGUGCGCCCGAAACUGCCGUGCUAGAGUGCGGGAGGGGAGAUCGGAAUGCAGGGUGGUAGCGGUGAAAUGCGUUGAUAUCCUGCAGAACACCGGUGGCGAAGGCGGAUCUCUGGAACGCAACUGACGCUGAGGCGCGAAAGUCGGGGGAGCAAACAGGAUUAGAUACCCUGGUAGUCCCGACCCUAAACGGUGUGCACUUGGGGUGGGGGGAUUYCCCCCCCCCCGUCCCGAAGCUAACGCGUUAAGUGCACCGCCUGGGGAGUACGGCCGCAAGGUUAAAACUCAAAGAAAUUGACGGGGGCCCGCACAAGCAGAGGAGCAUGUGGCUUAAUUCGAUGCAACGCGAAGAACCUUACCCGGGUUUGACAUGCAGCUGCACGGCCUAUGAAAGUAGGCCUCCUUCGAGGGUGCUGCACAGGUGCUGCAUGGCUGUCGUCAGUUCGUGCCGUGAGGUGUUUGGUUAAGUCCAGCAACGAACGCAACCCCUGUGUCCAGUUGCCAGCGCGUAAUGGCGGGAACUCUGGACAGACUGCCCGUUCACACGGGAGGAAGGUGGGGACGACGUCAAGUCAGUAUGGCCCUUACAUCCGGGGCUGCACACGUGCUACAAUGGCAGGUACAAAGGGAAGCCAAGCCGCAAGGCCGCGCCAAUCCCCAAAACCUGCCCCAGUUCAGAUUGGGGUCUGCAACCCGACCCCAUGAAGUCGGAUUUGCUAGUAACGGCGCAUCAGCUACGGCGCCGUGAAUACGUUCCCGGGCCUUGUACACACCGCCCGUCACAUCAUGAAAGCCGUCUGCACCCGAAGCCGGCGCCUCAACCCGCAAGGGAGAGAGCCGUCUAAGGUGUGAGUGGUGAUUGGGAUG
Molecule: ribosomal RNA, 1480 nt
Filed under: uncultured bacterium
Lineage: Bacteria
Description: bacterial SSU rRNA
Rfam family: Bacterial small subunit ribosomal RNA
Source: RNAcentral